CCUACGGGGGGCUGCAGUGGGGAAUAUUGGACAAUGGGGGGAACCCUGAUCCAGCCAUGCCGCGUGUGUGAAGAAGGUCCUCGGGUUGUAAAGCACUUUCAGUGAGGAAGAACGCCUGGUGGUUAAUACCCAUCAGGAAAGACAUCACUCACAGAAGAAGCACCGGCUAACUCCGUGCCAGCAGCCGCGGUAAUACGGAGGGUGCGAGCGUUAAUCGGAAUUACUGGGCGUAAAGCGCGCGUAGGUGGCUUGAUAAGCCGGUUGUGAAAGCCCCGGGCUCAACCUGGGAACGGCAUCCGGAACUGUCAAGCUAGAGUGCAGGAGAGGAAGGUAGAAUUCCCGGUGUAGCGGUGAAAUGCGUAGAGAUCGGGAGGAAUACCAGUGGCGAAGGCGGCCUUCUGGACUGACACUGACACUGAGGUGCGAAAGCGUGGGUAGCAAACAGGAUUAGAUACCCCAGUAGUC
Molecule: ribosomal RNA, 465 nt
Filed under: Vreelandella stevensii
Lineage: Bacteria; Pseudomonadati; Pseudomonadota; Gammaproteobacteria; Oceanospirillales; Halomonadaceae
Description: partial 16S ribosomal RNA
Rfam family: Bacterial small subunit ribosomal RNA
Source: RNAcentral